RNAcentral lists this ribosomal RNA (490 nucleotides) under uncultured bacterium. RNAcentral's name for it is "partial 16S ribosomal RNA". It matches the Rfam family "Bacterial small subunit ribosomal RNA", at positions 30 to 507 of the family's 1533-position model. The record is from RNAcentral.
AUUGAACGCUGGCGGCAGGCCUAACACAUGCAAGUCGAACGGUAACAGGAAGAAGCUUGCUUCUUUGCUGACGAGUGGCGGACGGGUGAGUAAUGUCUGGGAAACUGCCUGAUGGAGGGGGAUAACUACUGGAAACGGUAGCUAAUACCGCAUAACGUCGCAAGACCAAAGAGGGGGACCUUCGGGCCUCUUGCCAUCGGAUGUGCCCGGAUGGGAUUAGCUAGUAGGUGGGGUAACGGCUCACCUAGGCGACGAUCCCUAGCUGGUCUGAGAGGAUGACCAGCCACACUGGAACUGAGACACGGUCCAGACUCCUACGGGAGGCAGCAGUGGGGAAUAUUGCACAAAGGGCGCAAGCCUGAUGCAGCCAUGCCGCGUGUAUGAAGAAGGCCUUCGGGUUGUAAAGUACUUUCAGCGGGGAGGAAGGGAGUAAAGUUAAUACCUUUGCUCAUUGACGUUACCCGCAGAAGAAGCACCGGCUAACUCCGUG